AAAAACAUUGCCUCUCGACUCAACAAUGAGAGGUUCAUCCUGCCCAAUGACAACAUAGUUCAAUGGCCGCGGUACCCUGACCGUGCAAAGGUAGCAUAAUCACUUGCCCCUUAAUUAGGGGCUGGCAUGAAAGGACACACGAAAGCUUCCCUGUCUCACAAUAACAAAUAAAAAUUAAUCUUCAAGUGAAAAAGCUUGAAUGAAACUGCAGGACAAGAAGACCCCGUUGAGCUUUAUUCUCUAUAGACUAAAUCAAAUAUUAAAUAUAUCAUAAACCUAAAAAGAAUUUAGUUGGGGUGACUAAGGAACACCAAAAACUUCCUUUUAUCAGUUAGGAUCAUUCUCCCUACAAAUUGACCCAUUACACAUGAUCAAAAAAAUAAGCUACCACAGGGAUAACAGGCUAAUCUUUCUCAAGAGCCCAAAUUGUCAGAAAGGAUUGGCACCUCGAUGUUGGCUUAGGGGCCCCUAAUGGUGCAGAAGCCAUAAAUGGUAGGUUUGUUCAACCUUUAAAACCCUACGUGAUCUG
RNAcentral lists this ribosomal RNA (529 nucleotides) under Lamellibrachia donwalshi. RNAcentral describes it as "partial large subunit ribosomal RNA". It matches the Rfam family "Bacterial large subunit ribosomal RNA", at positions 1809 to 2607 of the family's 2925-position model. Lineage: Eukaryota; Metazoa; Annelida; Polychaeta; Sabellida; Siboglinidae. The record is from RNAcentral.